UUGGCGAACGGGGUGAGUAAUACAUAGGUAACCUACCCUUAAGACGAGGAUAGCCAUUGGAAACGAUGGAUAAAACUGGAUAGGAUAUAGAGGAAGAAUCUUUUAUAUUUUAAAAGAGAGAUCUGCUUAAGGAGGGGCCUGUGGCGCAUUAGCUAGUUGGUGGGGUAAGGGCCUACCAAGGCGAUGAUGCGUAGCCGGACUGAGAGGUUGAACGGCCACAAUGGAACUGAGAACGGUCCAUACUCCUACGGGAGGCAGCAG
This 261-nucleotide ribosomal RNA is filed under the name uncultured bacterium. Its description in RNAcentral is "partial 16S ribosomal RNA". It matches the Rfam family "Bacterial small subunit ribosomal RNA", at positions 95 to 354 of the family's 1533-position model. The record is from RNAcentral.